This 460-nucleotide ribosomal RNA is filed under the name uncultured bacterium. RNAcentral's name for it is "partial 16S ribosomal RNA". It matches the Rfam family "Bacterial small subunit ribosomal RNA", at positions 338 to 795 of the family's 1533-position model. The record is from RNAcentral.
CCUACGGGCGGCUGCAGUGAGGAAUCUUGGUCAAUGGACGGAAGUCUGAACCAGCCAUGCCGCGUGCAGGAUGACGGCUCUCUGAGUUGUAAACUGCUUUUGUACGAGAAUAAUAUUUCUUACGUGUCGGGCUUUGCAUGUAUCGUACGAAUAAGGAUCGGCUAACUCCGUGCCAGCAGCCGCGGUAAUACGGAGGAUUCGAGCGUUAUACGGAUUUAUUGGGUUUAAAGGGUGCGUAGGCUGUUGGAUAAGUUAGAGGUCAAAGGUCGGGGCUUAACCCCGUGCCUGCAUCUGAUACUGUUGGACUAGAGAGCGGAUGCAGCAGGCGGAAUGAGUAGUGUAGCGGUGAAAUGCUUAGAUAUAACGCAGAACACCGAUUGCGCAGGCAGCUUGCUAAUCCGCAUCUGACGCUGAGGCACGAAAGCGUGGGUAGCGAACAGGAUUAGAUACCCUUGUAGUC